AGUACGUUUUAGUGUGAGUCGGGCCUUCUGGAACGGAUUAAUGACGCUAACCGAGGUUCCGCUGUUCUGCAACCGGUGAACUUAACAUGAAAUUCAUAAUAUCCAUAAUCAAGCACAUUUCCUGGGAAUUGACUGUAUUGGGUUCAAGCGUGAAAAAGAACCAUUUUGGUAUGAUCUGUUGGAUAAGACGGAAAUGCCUCACAAUCCAAAAACGAUUUAGAAAAUAUCUCCUUAGAAACGGCUCGUUGUCCUGGCGGACCAGGUUUCCUCACUCCAUCCUGUCGCUACCGUCACCAUUGAUCUGCACCACACAGUCCUUGUCUAGAGGUUCCUUGGAGUGCGUCGUGUCGAAGUGAUGGUUGCUCAUCAUGUACCUCCCGUGGGCAUCAAACGCUAAGGCGGGCACAAAGCGCCGGUCGAACUGGAUUUCCUGGCGAAGGGCCGGGUAGAGCGGACUGCGGCGGUCCAGCGGAUGGAAGAAGGUGAGUGGGAAGAUGAAGAAGGGACAAGGCUGUUGGCCCAGAUGAUCCGCGAAGAAGUCCACGGAGGUUUGGUGCAGGGCUUGACCGUCGUUCUCCUCGUAGAGAACGGCACUCACCUUCACGUCCACCAGGGGGCGCCUCAGCAGAUUUGCCGCUCGCAGCAUGAGGCACGUUUGGCCCUGGUGUUGGCCCACCACGGCCUGGGGGCUGAACUGGAUGGCCCCGGCUCGCUUCUGGGGACAGGAAAUCUUGGCCACAAAUGCACCUGGUAGACAAUUAAGAGAUGUUCCGGAAUUGAACGCUUGUUGAGAGAAGGCUCGAGGGAACGCGUACCUGUGAUGAACGCCUCCAGCAUGAGCCCCAGCAGCAUUUGCACGGCCAACAGAGCGAUGGCACUGGGACAGUCCCCGCUGGGGAACAUGGUGCCGUAGCCGAUGGUGAGCUGCGUCUCAAGGGAGAAGGAGAAGGCGGCGGUGAAGCUGGUGAUGUGCUUCACGCAGACCACGUGGCCCUGCGGAGGCGCGUCGUGAUCCAGCACGUCCAGAUCUCCAUUGAUGUGGGCCAGCAAGUACCACAGACACGCGAAAAGAAGCCAGUGCGCCACAAAGGAUGCGCAGAAGGCCAAGAGAACCCAUCUCCAGCGCAGACCCACCAACUGUCCCCACAUGUCGUGGACGGCCAGCAGCCAGGCCCGGUGGCUCGACGCUCCGAGCCAUGAGCCCGAGGGACGCGGGGGAGGGCGGAGCGUGCAACGUCCAUCUUUGGUGACCAGACGUUGGCGGUUUGGGGGGGACAGAAGAGGGGAGGACAACGCCUUGCCACCCAGAACUAUACUGUUGGAUUUGCUUGUCAUCUUUAGAGGUCCUGAAAUGAAGAACACAUCAUGAAAGACAUAUUUUAUAAUAUUUUAUGUUAUUGUUAUGACUAAUGUUUUUGUGAAACACUUUUUAUUUACGUGCUAAUUUGACCAAAGACAUAAUGACAAUGGGUGAUCAUUUUAGGGAUGUCGGAUAAUUAUCAGUACCGAUCGAUAUCAGCCAGAUAUCAGCAUAAAAAUGUAAUAUCGGUCGAUACCGGUAUCUGAUUUAUUAUUAUUAUAAUAAUACCGAUAUCUUAAAAAUGCUUUGUACAACAUUCCACCACAGGAGAUAUGUCAUGUUACACAUAUCGUUAUCAGUAUCAGUAGAUAUCGGUAUCGGACUGAACAAAUGAGCCAAUAUCGGACAUGGUUAGUGAUAAUGAAGGAUUUUUGAGUUUUGGUAACAUCCCUUUCCUCCAUUUAUGCAUGCAUUUACGUGCUAAUUUGACCAGAGACAUAAUGACAAUGGGUGAUAAUUUUUAGGAAUUUCGGUUAAUUAUCAGUACCGGUCGAUAUCGGCCCGAUAUCAGCAUAAAAAUGUAAUAUCGGUCGAUAUCGGUAUCUGAUUUAUUAUUAUAAUAAUACCGAUAUCUUAAAAAUACUUUGUACAACAUUCCACCACAGGAGAUAUGUCAUGUUACACAUAUCAGUAUCAGUUGAUAUCGGAUUCGGACUGAACAAAUAAGCCAAUAUCGGACACCCUUAGUGAUAAUGAAGGAUUUUUGAGUUUUGGUAACAUUCCUUUCCUCCAUUUAUGCAUGCAUUUACAUGCUAAUUUGACCAGAGACAUAAUGAGAAUGGGUGAUCAUUUUAGGGAUGUUGCAUAAUUAUCAGUACCGAUCGAUAUCGGCCCGAUAUCAGCAUAAAAAUGUUCAUUUGAGAAAUCUAGUUUGAAUGAAAAACUGACUUUUUAUCCAAUGCCAAAGCUUUGAAGAUAGGUUUAUAUCUUAUGUUAGAAUAAUAUAAUAAUAAUAAUAUAAUAAUAUUGUUUUUUGUUGUUUUUUAUUGAUUUCGACAGAACCACAUAUCUGCUUUGGCAAAAACACGCAAGUGAUUAAUUAAUUAUGAGGUUACCAAUAACACAAAACACCUCAAUGGAA
Non-coding RNA from Doryrhamphus excisus (bluestripe pipefish), 2441 nucleotides. Lineage: Eukaryota; Metazoa; Chordata; Actinopteri; Syngnathiformes; Syngnathidae. The record is from RefSeq and is a predicted model, not a curated record.